Molecule: ribosomal RNA, 251 nt
Filed under: uncultured bacterium
Lineage: Bacteria
Description: partial 16S ribosomal RNA
Rfam family: Bacterial small subunit ribosomal RNA
Source: RNAcentral
CGUAGGUGGCAAGCGUUAUCCGGAAUUAUUGGGCGUAAAGCGCGCGCAGGCGGUUUCUUAAGUCUGAUGUGAAAGCCCACGGCUCAACCGUGGAGGUCAUUGGAACUGGGAACUUGAGUGCAGAAGAGAAAGCGGAAUUCCACGUGUAGCGGUGAAAUGCGUAGAGAUGUGGAGGAACACCAGUGGCGAAGGCGGCUUUUGGUCUGUAACUGAACGCUGAGGCGCGAAAAGCGUGGGAGCAAACAGGACUU